UACGUAGGUGGCGAGCGUUGUCCGGAGUUACUGGGCGUAAAGGGGGCGCAGGCGGCCUGGCGCGUGGAUCCUGAAAUUGGCCGGCUCAACCGGCCGGGGUGGAUCCAGACGGCGAGGCUUACCAAGUCUGAGAGGCGCGGAGAGGGGCGUGGAAUUCCGGGUGGAGCGGUGAAAUGCGUAGAGAUCCGGAGGAACACCGACGGCGCAGGCAGCGCCCUGGCCGCGACCUGACGCUGAGGCCCGAAAGCUGGGGGAGCGAACAGG
RNAcentral lists this unclassified non-coding RNA (264 nucleotides) under uncultured Ktedonobacterales bacterium. RNAcentral describes it as "contains 16S-23S intergenic spacer region". It matches the Rfam family "Bacterial small subunit ribosomal RNA", at positions 524 to 776 of the family's 1533-position model. Lineage: Bacteria; Bacillati; Chloroflexota; Ktedonobacteria; Ktedonobacterales. The record is from RNAcentral.